AUACGGAGGCGGCAAGCGUUGUUCGGAAUUACUGGGCGUAAAGAGUACGUAGGCGGAUCGUUAAGUUAGAGGUGAAAUCCCAGGGCUCAACCCUGGAACUGCCUUUAAUACUGGCGAUCUAGAGAUCGAGAGAGGUGAGUGGAAUUUCCAGUGUAGAGGUGAAAUUCGUAGAUAUUGGAAAGAACACCAGUGGCGAAGGCGGCUCACUGGCUCGAUACUGACGCUGAGGUACGAAAGCGUGGGGAGCAAACAGGAUUAGAAACCCCAGUAGUCC
This 274-nucleotide ribosomal RNA is filed under the name uncultured bacterium. RNAcentral's name for it is "partial 16S ribosomal RNA". It matches the Rfam family "Bacterial small subunit ribosomal RNA", at positions 523 to 796 of the family's 1533-position model. The record is from RNAcentral.